CUUAUCAACUUUUUUUCUUCCAGUGCACAGUCCCCACUCAACGCGUGCCGAACGAAGCUGAUUAGAUUCGCUGCGGGGGAUCUCCGACCGAGAUUCUGGUUGGAAGGGCCAAGUGCACCUGGCGAUUCGACCGUCGACGUGCUCGAGCACGUUUCGUAUUGAUACGAGUAGGAGCUACAUACGUACACACACACGGUUGCGGUUGCGCCACAUACCUGGCGAACUUUGGGGCCGCAUGUCCUCCGUCUCCAUCUCACCUGCUUACGUAAGUAGUGCGGCAAUCCGUCGCUCAGCGUGUCGCCGUGUACCGUUAUGGUGCCAGAGCAGCGCCCCGACACCCAAGCACCCUUAGGCACACCACCCACCACCUGCCCCCCACCCGCCCAUCGGAAAGCUGCUCGAGUUGCGUCAAAGUCGUAAAACUUUCUCACCUCAGCCCCCAAACGGCGAAAGUGCACAUAUUCAGAUUAUAAAUACGAGUUUAUGGCGGCGUAAAAAAUGAUUCUUAACGAUCCCCAGUGCUCAUAAUGAAGUUAUCGCAUGAUCGACGCUCGGAAACAUCCAAACAUCCGCGCACCGCACCGACUGAUCGGAAAGAUCAAGGAGGCCUUGCCGCCCACCCAACUCGCCCACACAACGGAUUGUGUAUAAAAAUAAUAUAAUUAUGCUCGUGUUAGCCAGUGCAGCCGUAAUAGUGACGAAGGCGCAUGUCUUUGUGACGUCAGUCUUCACGGGAAACUUCUUCAACUUCUGGCGAUAGCGCAACAAACGUGGCGCACCACUGACUGGACUCCGAAUGGAAGCGUGUGGCAAAUCUGGAAAAUCACAUCCAGCGAGACUUAUGCUACGCUUCCCACGCGUGGAUGCUGCGAUAAAGUUCUGUUUUCGAAGGAGCCUCUUGUGUUGUUUACUGUUUAAUCUGAUUAGGAACACACUUUCCUUGUGAUUCAGUUGCUCGGGGGUUUCCAAGCCGAGCAAACAGUAUUGAAGACAACUGGAAGUGAGUAAGCAUGGUACUGCUAUGGUAUGGGCUGGAAAAUGGAAUAGUUUUGGAAAAGACGCGUUGAUAUCUAGUUUAUUAUGUAUAUAGUACUCAUGACUUGCCUGUAAUCCAUGCCAGCGCUGCUCCACUUGUUUGUUAUGGGAUCCGAAAACUUUAUCGCAAAACGUGAUAAUCGCACGCAUGUGACAAUCAUGUCACGUUUUCGCUUUCAUAAGCCGUUACUAAGUGGCUGCCCAGAAUUUUUUGGCCUGGCAACAAACUUUUAGUGUCACCCAAUAUCUCAUAUAUGCAAGUGUAUUUAUGGUAUAUUUAUGGUAUAUUUGUAUAUUUGCGAUACUAGCGGAGGAAAUAAUAAAAAACUUGAACAUAUGGAGCACCGCAGACAACAAUAUCAAUUGGCUACGGUUUCAGGAAGGGAAAGUGCCUAAAAAUAAGUGAUCGUUAAAUAUGGCGAUUUACUACUAUUCCCCACUAUCUUAUCGGUUACGUAGUGAAAACAUUGAAAACAACCCGUGGUGUCGGGGUGAAAAUAAACCAAGGUCCGCCGAGGAGAACCCUCCUGCUGCAACGCUCCUCCACCUGAUGAGCAAGACCCACUUUCUCGCCUUAUCUUCCCAAUUGGACUUAUCGCUAAUUGGAUGUUCUAGCCGGAAUUUGCGGGCUUAUAGCCAAAAGCGCUUGACAGUUGCUUGGUUGGAUGAUCGGCUGACAGGAGCACGAGUGCUUCUUUGUCAUUAUCGCUGGCGGCGCACUAACCGCGGUCCGAAAAUAACCCGGAAUGUUAAAAAUAACUCGCCGCCCUGCUGAAAUUGCCGGCGACAAUAACAAUAACACAUAUUCUGCAUAAAUAUCAAGGCAAAUAGCUGUUGGAAAAUUUGUAUCAGCAGUUCUGUUUGUUUUUCUGGGCUCUCAUAUUAUCGCUAUCAGUACUUCCAAAGAAAACAGAGUUUAGGCGACAAUGGCAGAGACUGCGACUCCCAGCCAUUUGUUGGCUCGCCACUUGAUGACUUGAUGGGGGAACUACCGGACUGACAUUUCCUUUUAUGGCCAAGGAGACGGCUGAAAGAGGGGUGUUG
Drosophila simulans is the source of this 2079-nucleotide long non-coding RNA. RefSeq lists it as uncharacterized. The record is from RefSeq and is a predicted model, not a curated record. The transcript is spliced from 2 exons. NCBI's taxonomy places the organism in Eukaryota, Metazoa, Arthropoda, Insecta, Diptera, Drosophilidae.